This is a long non-coding RNA of Rhododendron vialii, 490 nucleotides long. RefSeq lists it as uncharacterized. The transcript has 2 exons. The record is from RefSeq and is a predicted model, not a curated record. NCBI's taxonomy places the organism in Eukaryota, Viridiplantae, Streptophyta, Magnoliopsida, Ericales, Ericaceae.
AUUUGAAAGCUUUGGUUGGAGCUACUCUGAGCCACCAAAUAUCCGCGCACACACACAAAACAAACAAACAUCAUUUCCCAAGGCAAGAAUCGUCAAAAAAUUUGGAACUCUUUUUUUUUUUUUGAAAAACUAGCUUAAAACUCUUGUUCACGAACUUUUACUCAAAAUUAACUCAGCAAAAAGUAAUAAGCCAAGCUUAAAGGGUAGAGCCAAACGGGACCUAAAGUAUUUUGAAAACCAUUCUGAAAGAUGAAACCAACGUAUAUAUAUAUAUCAAAAUAAAUGAUCACAAUAAUCCAAAACUCUACUUAGUUUUCAGGGAUUAAUACAGGAGUACGAAUUAAAAUGACUUGCCACUCACGUGAAGAAGUUGGGGUUGAGUUUCCCAGAAGCCCCUGUCAUCUUCAACAUUCCUACUACUUUCUUCCUCUUCCUCUUCAUCAAUUUCUUCAUUCUCACCGUAAUCACGACCGUCAGUACUUUCCGGCGA